Molecule: non-coding RNA, 381 nt
Organism: Neolamprologus brichardi
Lineage: Eukaryota; Metazoa; Chordata; Actinopteri; Cichliformes; Cichlidae
Source: RefSeq, a predicted model, not a curated record
GCCAUACAAGGUUGUUGGUAAGCUUUUAAAUUUGGAGAAAUGUCCUGUAAGUAAGGUCGGCACUAAGAGUUGUGCUUAGUUCAAGGAAGUAAAAAAAUACAAUGGCUCCUUUGAUGUUUAAGGAUGCUUUCUGGGGGUCUGACUUCACUUGCCACGCUGGGUAUGAAGCCGUGACCCAAAGGUUACGAGAUGGAAGGCAAAUGUGCAAAGAUAUGGAAGAGCUAUUGAAGAUGAGGGCACUGGCAGAGGAAAAGUAUGGAAAGGAACUGGUGACUAUUGCUCGCAAAGCUGGAGGACACAUAGAGAUAAGGUGAAAAACUUGUUUUGAGGUCAGCAUUAUGUAUUGUAUAGACUGCCCAACUAGUACAUAAAUAUAGCAAU